AGGCAGCAGGCGCGCAAAUUACCCAAUCCUAAUACAGGGAGGUAGUGACAAGAAAUAACAAUCCAGGACUUUUUGGUUUUGUAAUUGGAAUGAGUUAAGUAUAAACCCCUUUACAAGUAUCAAUUGGAGGGCAAGUCUGGUGCCAGCAGCCGCGGUAAUUCCAGCUCCAAUAGCGUAUAUUAAAGUUGUUGCAGUUAAAAAGCUCGUAGUUGGAUUUCUGUUAAUAAUUUAUAUAAUA
Molecule: ribosomal RNA, 238 nt
Filed under: Cryptosporidium parvum
Lineage: Eukaryota; Apicomplexa; Conoidasida; Eucoccidiorida; Cryptosporidiidae
Description: partial 18S ribosomal RNA
Rfam family: Eukaryotic small subunit ribosomal RNA
Source: RNAcentral